RNAcentral lists this ribosomal RNA (578 nucleotides) under uncultured bacterium. RNAcentral describes it as "bacterial SSU rRNA". It matches the Rfam family "Bacterial small subunit ribosomal RNA", at positions 338 to 916 of the family's 1533-position model. The record is from RNAcentral.
CCUACGGGAGGCAGCAGUGAGGAAUAUUGCGCAAUGGAGGCAACUCUGACGCAGCCAUGCCGCGUGCAGGAAGAAGGCGCUACGCGUUGUAAACUGCUUUUAUCCGGGAAGAAACCCCAGGACGUGUCCUGGGUUGACGGUACCGGAGGAAUAAGCACCGGCUAACUUCGUGCCAGCAGCCGCGGUAAUACGAAGGGUGCAAGCGUUAUCCGGAUUCAUUGGGUUUAAAGGGUGCGUAGGCGGAACAAUAAGUCAGCGGUGAAAUCCUGCAGCUCAACUGUAGAAUUGCCGUUGAUACUGUUGUUCUUGAGUACGCUUGACGUGGGCGGAAUGUGCCGUGUAGCGGUGAAAUGCUUAGAUAUGGCACAGAACACCGAUAGUGAAGACAGCUCACGAAGGCGAAACUGACGCUGAGGCACGAAAGCGUGGGGAUCAAACAGGAUUAGAUACCCUGGUAGUCCACGCCGUAAACGAUGAUCACUCGAGGUUGGCGAUAUACGGUCGGCCCCCUAGCGAAAGCGUUAAGUGAUCCACCUGGGGAGUACGAUCGCAAGAUUGAAACUCAAAGGAAUUGACGG